This 264-nucleotide ribosomal RNA is filed under the name uncultured methanogenic archaeon. RNAcentral describes it as "partial 16S ribosomal RNA". It matches the Rfam family "Archaeal small subunit ribosomal RNA", at positions 366 to 631 of the family's 1478-position model. The record is from RNAcentral. Lineage: Archaea; Methanobacteriati; Methanobacteriota.
CGUGAUAGGGGACACCGAGUGCCAGCAUCAUAUGCUGGCUGUCCGGAUGUGUAAAAUACAUCCGUUAGCAAGGGCCGGGCAAGACCGGUGCCAGCCGCCGCGGUAACACCGGCGGCCCGAGUGGUGAUCGUGAUUAUUGGGUCUAAAGGGUCCGUAGCCGGUUUGGUCAGUCCUCCGGGAAAUCUGAUAGCUCAACUAUUAGGCUUUCGGGGGAUACUGCCAGGCUUGGAACCGGGAGAGGUAAGAGGUACUACAGGGGUAGGA